AACGAACGCUGGCGGCGUGCUUAACACAUGCAAGUCGAACGGAAAGGCCCUGCGUUUGUGGGGUGCUCGAGUGGCGAACGGGUGAGUAACACGUGAGUAACCUGCCCUUGACUUUGGGAUAACUUCAGGAAACUGGGGCUAAUCCCGGAUAGGAGCUCCUCCUGCAUGGUGGGGGGUGGAAAGUUUCGGCGGGUGGGGAUGGACUCGCGGCUUAUCGGCUUGUUGGUGGGGUAGUGGCUUACCAAGGAUUUGACGGGUCGCCGGCCUGAGAGGGGGACCGGCGACAAUGGGACUGAGAUACGGACCAGACGCGUACGUGAGGCAGCAGGGGGGAAUAUUGCACAGUGGGCGGAAGCCUGAUGCAGCAACGCCGCGUGCGGGAUGACGGCCUUCGGGGUGUAAACCGCUUUCGCCUGUGACGAAGCGUGAGUGACGGUAAUGGGUAAAGAAGCACCGGCUAACUACGUG
RNAcentral lists this ribosomal RNA (468 nucleotides) under uncultured bacterium. RNAcentral describes it as "partial 16S ribosomal RNA". It matches the Rfam family "Bacterial small subunit ribosomal RNA", at positions 28 to 507 of the family's 1533-position model. The record is from RNAcentral.